GAUGAACGCUGGCGGCGUGCCUAAUACAUGCAAGUCGAGCGAACAGAUGAGGAGCUUGCUCCUCUGACGUUAGCGGCGGACGGGUGAGUAACACGUGGAUAACCUACCUAUAAGACUGGGAUAACUUCGGGAAACCGGAGCUAAUACCGGAUAAUAUAUUGAACCGCAUGGUUCAAUAGUGAAAGACGGUUUUGCUGUCACUUAUAGAUGGAUCCGCGCCGCAUUAGCUAGUUGGUAAGGUAACGGCUUACCAAGGCAACGAUGCGUAGCCGACCUGAGAGGGUGAGCGGCCACACUGGAACUGAGACACGGUCCAGACUCCUACGGGAGGCAGCAGUAGGGAAUCUUUCGCAAUGGGCGAAAGCCUGACGGAGCAACGCCGCGUGAGUGGUUAAGGUCUUCGGAUCGUAAAACUCUGUUAUUGGGGAAGAACAAAUGUGUAAGUAACUAUGCACGUCUUGACGGUACCUAAUCAGAAAGCCACGGCUAACUACGGGC
This 498-nucleotide ribosomal RNA is filed under the name uncultured bacterium. Its description in RNAcentral is "partial 16S ribosomal RNA". It matches the Rfam family "Bacterial small subunit ribosomal RNA", at positions 28 to 508 of the family's 1533-position model. The record is from RNAcentral.